Molecule: ribosomal RNA, 490 nt
Filed under: uncultured bacterium
Lineage: Bacteria
Description: bacterial SSU rRNA
Rfam family: Bacterial small subunit ribosomal RNA
Source: RNAcentral
UGGGGGGAGGCCUGGUGCACUGACGCGACGUGAGGGAAGAAGGCUUUCGAGGUUGAAGACCUCUUUCAUGAGGGACGAGACUCCUCGAGGUUAUUGGCCGGGAGGGUGAGGGAACGUUCGGACUACGGCCCGGCUAACUACGUGCCACUCAGCCGCGGUAAUACGUAGGGGGCAAGCGUUGUCCGGACUUAUUGGGCGUAAAGAGCGUGUAGGCGGCCAGAUAGGUCUGUUGUGAAAACUCGAGGCUCAACCUCGAGACGCCGAUGGAAACCAUUUGGCUAGAGUCCGGAAGAGGAGAGUGGAAUUCCUGGUGUAGCGGUGAAAUGCGCAGAUAUCAGGAAGAACACCCGUGGCUAAGGCGGCUCUCUAGUACGGUACUGACGCUGAGACGCGAAAGCGUGGGGAGCGAACAGGAUUAGAUACCCUGGUAGUCCACGCCGUAAACGAUGGGUGCUAGGUGUGGGGGGUGUCGACUCCCUCCGUGCCGAAG